GUGAGGAACAUUCCCUGCUUUUUGAUUUUUCUUAUUUAUUUUAAGGAAGUAGUAGGGGGCAGUCCUGAUACUCUCAGUGGUGUGGUCCAUUUUUCUUAAAUGAAUCUUUCAACUGUCAGCAGCAUCCAAAUCAACAAAUUUAUUCAAAGCUGCUCUAUCAAUCGAACCCACGAUGUGGAACUCUUUUUGGACGAAGAGAGAGAAAAAAAUAUCCCCACAUGCUCAAAAAGCUAUUUUGAAUAUAAUUUUGGGCUUGAGAAGCAACUCGCUUAAUUUUUUGUUUAUGCCGUGGCGAACGUGACCAUUGUCAGAACACCUCAGCACGGAGAAUUCUCAUUUUCCUGCCCUUCUACGCAUGCAACACCCAUAAUUUACCAUGUUGCUGUGCAACAGUGCUCACAUGAGGAGUUGCAUCAAGGACUGCACUCCCCAAAAGGGAGAGAAAGAUGGCCCUUUAGGGACUAGAAAGUUUCAUUUUUGCUUGAACAAAAAGAAACUAUUUCUUUUUCUUUUAUUUCUAUUCCAAGCAAUAAAUUGUUCGUGUUUUCCAUUUAUCAUAACCCACGGAGUGUAGACACACAUAUGUUGUACAUACAUACAUAUAUGUUGUACCCUGUUGCAAGUCAUAUGGCUUUUAUACUCUUGCAUUAUUUUCAUGCGUUCUAAACAUCGCUAAUUUAUAGCCCAAGUGAACUUUUAAUAGUCAUAAAAUAUUGAGAUUCGGUAAGAUUAUUCAAACCAAUAUAUUGGUAAAAAUUUACAAAAGAGACACUAUCUCAGCUGGAGCCUCACACACAUGAGUGCCAUGGCCCAAUGGGACUCCUCCACAUUACUGAAACACUUGAUUUGCCAUACUUCUGCAGCUCAUGUUGCAGGUUAAUAUGACAUUUAAGCGCUUUGGGUAUGGCACAGCGAAGGGAAGUCCCCACAGCCUGAAAAAUCUAUUUUGAAAAAAAUCAUUAGGAAUUCCCAAAUCUCCCCUCGAGCGCAGAUUUCUCACGAAAUGAAAUUCUCCCCCAGAGUUUCCUUUAUGCCUUCUUACAACUCGGAUGCGAAGAUUGCAUCACAUAUGGUUCGUGCUUUUUUUGUACUGAGCGACAAUCAAGCUAGGAUCUGAUGCAAGA
Lutzomyia longipalpis is the source of this 1124-nucleotide long non-coding RNA. RefSeq lists it as uncharacterized. Lineage: Eukaryota; Metazoa; Arthropoda; Insecta; Diptera; Psychodidae. The record is from RefSeq and is a predicted model, not a curated record. The transcript is spliced from 3 exons.